Molecule: ribosomal RNA, 369 nt
Filed under: uncultured Anoxybacillus sp.
Lineage: Bacteria; Bacillati; Bacillota; Bacilli; Caryophanales; Anoxybacillaceae
Description: bacterial SSU rRNA
Rfam family: Bacterial small subunit ribosomal RNA
Source: RNAcentral
UCCCCUUCGGGGGACAGGGUGACAGGUGGUGCAUGGUUGUCGUCAGCUCGUGUCGUGAGAUGUUGGGUUAAGUCCCGCAACGAGCGCAACCCUCGACCUUAGUUGCCAGCAUUCAGUUGGGCACUCUAAGGUGACUGCCGGCUAAAAGGUCGGAGGAAGGUGGGGAUGACGUCAAAUCAUCAUGCCCCUUAUGACCUGGGCUACACACGUGCUACAAUGGGCGGUACAAAGGGUCGCGAACCCGCGAGGGGGAGCCAAUCCCAAAAAGCCGCUCUCAGUUCGGAUUGCAGGCUGCAACUCGCCUGCAUGAAGCCGGAAUCGCUAGUAAUCGCGGAUCAGCACGCCGCGGUGAAUACGUUCCCGGGCCUU